Long non-coding RNA from Tachyglossus aculeatus (Australian echidna), 503 nucleotides. RefSeq lists it as uncharacterized. Lineage: Eukaryota; Metazoa; Chordata; Mammalia; Monotremata; Tachyglossidae. The transcript has 3 exons. The record is from RefSeq and is a predicted model, not a curated record.
GCUCGUAAGCGUUAUGACGAUGAUGCUGAUCACCAUUAAGCAAAGUCGUAUCCUACGUGGGGCGUAGUCUAGGGCCAGUGCUCGGCAAAGAAGAAACGCUGAAGAAAUGCCAUUUCAAUGACACCAAUACAACAUAGAGGAAGCCAGGCUCCAGAAGAACGGAGCUCCAUUCCCAGUCUGGCCAACAACCUUGAGGCUACAGGGAAGAAGGGAAAUACUCUACCAGGAGAAGCGGCAGAGCCUAGGGGCUAAGGCCGGAGCCUGGAUGUCAGAGGGACCCGAGUUCAAGUCCGGCUGUUUCCCUGGCCUGCUGGGUGACCUCGGUGGGUCCAGCACUAUACCCACCCGAUGAUUGGAUCGGACACCGUCCCUGACUCAGGUUCGGCUCUGAAUCAUAUGGUGACGAUGAGGAUGAUGACACAAUCUAAGUCUGGGUCCCACGUGAAGCUAAGUCUAAGUUAGUCAGGGAACAUGUCUGCCCAUUGCUGUAAUGGGCUCUCCCA